AUGGUCUCGCGUUUGGUCUCUGAUACUGAAGCACACGGUUUUACACAUGUAUUAGCUGCUGUUCGCCAAAUUAAGGGAUAUAUGUUUGUGAAGGGAGCUCUGAAUGUUAUUUGGAUGGCUGCAGGAGUCAAGUGCCGUCGUAUAUGCAUUGCUUUGUCAUCUAAAGAAUUGCCUCUCCAAAACCUCGGUUUCAUAUGUUCUAACUUCUACUAUAUGAUUGGUUCACUUUUUUUCAGUUACUUGAGACGGCAGUUUAGAUUGGAACAUAAAGUGAUUUGGUUUGAGUUGAUGUUGCGCGGAGUCCAUUCCUGA
RNAcentral lists this ribosomal RNA (312 nucleotides) under Triticum aestivum (bread wheat). RNAcentral's name for it is "partial small subunit ribosomal RNA". The record is from RNAcentral. Lineage: Eukaryota; Viridiplantae; Streptophyta; Magnoliopsida; Poales; Poaceae.